RNAcentral lists this small RNA (95 nucleotides) under Paenibacillus illinoisensis. Its description in RNAcentral is "pan motif". The record is from RNAcentral. Lineage: Bacteria; Bacillati; Bacillota; Bacilli; Caryophanales; Paenibacillaceae.
UUGGCUUGAUCAUGAACAGAUGCAUAGCAAAAUGGAAAAUGUGUUAAGUGAGUUGUUGGAUUCUGCUCUGAGCCGAAGAGGACCGAGACAGAAGG